RNAcentral lists this ribosomal RNA (478 nucleotides) under uncultured bacterium. RNAcentral's name for it is "partial 16S ribosomal RNA". It matches the Rfam family "Bacterial small subunit ribosomal RNA", at positions 28 to 523 of the family's 1533-position model. The record is from RNAcentral.
GACGAACGCUGGCGGCGUGCUUAACACAUGCAAGUCGAACGGCAAGGCCCUUCGGGGUACACGAGUGGCGAACGGGUGAGUAACACGUGGGUGAUCUGCCCUGCACUUCGGGAUAAGCCUGGGAAGCUGGGUCUAAUACCGGAUAGGACCACUGCCUGCAUGGGUGGUGGGGGAAAGCUUUUGCGGUGUGGGAUGGGCCCGCGGCCUAUCAGCUUGUUGGUGGGGUGAUGGCCUACCAAGGCGACGACGGGUAGCCGGCCUGAGAGGGUGACCGGCCACACUGGGACUGAGAUACGGCCCAGACUCCUACGGGAGGCAGCAGUGGGGAAUAUUGCACAAUGGGCGCAAGCCUGAUGCAGCGACGCCGCGUGAGGGAUGACGGCCUUCGGGUUGUAAACCUCUUUCAGCACCGACGAAGCGCAAGUGACGGUAGGUGCAGAAGAAGGACCGGCCAACUACGUGCCAGCCGCCGCGGUAA